This 497-nucleotide ribosomal RNA is filed under the name uncultured bacterium. RNAcentral's name for it is "partial 16S ribosomal RNA". It matches the Rfam family "Bacterial small subunit ribosomal RNA", at positions 28 to 507 of the family's 1533-position model. The record is from RNAcentral.
GAUGAACGCUGGCGGCGUGCCUAAUACAUGCAAGUCGAGCGAACAGACGAGGAGCUUGCUCCUCUGACGUUAGCGGCGGACGGGUGCGUAACACGUGGAUAACCUACCUAUAAGACUGGGAUAACUUCGGGAAACCGGAGCUAAUACCGGAUAACAUGUUGAACCGCAUGGUUCAACAGUGAAAGACGGUUUUGCUGUCACUUAUAGAUGGAUCCGCGUCGCAUUAGCUAGUUGGUAAGGUAACGGCUUACCAAGGCAACGAUGCGUAGCCGACCUGAGAGGGUGAUCGGCCACACUGGAACUGAGACACGGUCCAGACUCCUACGGGAGGCAGCAGUAGGGAAUCUUCCGCAAUGGGCGAAAGCCUGACGGAGCAACGCCGCGUGAGUGAAGAAGGUCUUCGGAUCGUAAAACUCUGUUAUUAGGGAAGAACAAAUGUGUAAGUAACUAUGCACGUCUUGACGGUACCUAAUCAGAAAGCCACGGCUAACUACGUG